ACCAACAUGCCUUUGAUACCACAAUGUAGGAUAACUACGCACAGUGGAAUAUUUUAUAAAGUAAAUAAAUUUGAUUAAUCUCCGGCUAUUAUUGAUUAAGUACCCUUGAGAUUAAGCACACGAGAGGGAAGAAGAGAAGAGACCUGCGGAGAGAGAAGAUCCGGAGCUUCUUUCAUUCAUCACAGAAACUACCAGAUAAGAUAAACUCCAAAUAACCUCUAAUCAAAUUGAAUUAAGUUACCAUUUAAAUGAGGUUUAAUUUGAUGUGGGAUAAGCUUGAUCAAGUGGGCCAUAUCAAGUUUUCUAACACAUGCUAACAUAUUCUUCUGCAAUUAGUUUUCAUUCAUCACAGAAACUACUAGAUAAGAUAAACUCCAAAUAACCUCUAAUCAAAUUGGAUUAAGUUACCAUUUAAAUGAGGUUUAAUUUGAUGUGGGAUAAGCUUGAUCAAGUGGGCCAUAUCAAGUCUUCUAACACAUGCUAAUAUAUUUUUCUCCGCCUAUUUUUACUCUGUUCUUGACUUCAUGUUAUUGCUGAAGGAUAACCAGAAGAUUGACUUGGGUCAUCUAUUUUGAAGUCACAUCUCAACGCAUGCAACCCACCGAGUCACUAUAUUAUUACUUAUAUUCCUUCCUCAAGAAAACUCUUGUCUUGUUGAGGAUUUUUUUUGUCGAUAAUUUUUAAAACAGCAUCA
This 694-nucleotide long non-coding RNA is filed under the name Phoenix dactylifera (date palm). RNAcentral's name for it is "long non-coding RNA (PDAC_LNC001302)". The record is from RNAcentral. Lineage: Eukaryota; Viridiplantae; Streptophyta; Magnoliopsida; Arecales; Arecaceae.